RNAcentral lists this long non-coding RNA (2690 nucleotides) under Triticum aestivum (bread wheat). RNAcentral's name for it is "long non-coding RNA (TAES_LNC011905)". The record is from RNAcentral. Lineage: Eukaryota; Viridiplantae; Streptophyta; Magnoliopsida; Poales; Poaceae.
GAAAUGGCAUCCACAGGCAGAAUGCAUAGGUAAAAUUUAGCUAAUGAAACGUGUAGCAACAUCCAUAAUCAUAAUAAGUAUGGUAAUCACACAUACUUUCACAUCAGCUAGCAACACACGGCUAAACUGAUGGGAUACAUUAGUCAAAGAUCCAUGUCACACUAACUACUGACUGCAGCAUUUGGACAUUGACAGACAGUACAUUCCACUUGGCCAGGAUCAGCAAAACAGAUCACUCUAUUAUAAGCGACAGGUCGCAACAAAAGCGAUCCCAGAUGGAAAAGGCCAUCCAUCCGCUAAAUCAGCAUUUUCUGCACAUCGGCAACUGAUACGCUACGAUCCUGCAGAAAUAGAAUUCCAAACAAAAAUCAAAACAUAUAUACCACAGGGAGCAGUAAAUUAGCAAAAAAAAGUACCGAACAAACGAACCAAAAGGGCGCGUUGCCUAAAGGCACUUGGUCUCCAACUUAGUCUUUUUACUUGCAAAGGGCACCUCCUCAUUUCCCAUCAGGUUUUCAGAUACCUUGCUUCAAGUAUAAAUAAAAAUUACAUAAAAAUAAAAUCAUGAUGUAUAUACUGGUCCCAGAAAGAAUGGGCAACAGUGGCAAAUGAGAAAAACAAUAAAAAUAAAAAUAAUGGCAAAGCACUAUGGAUGAAAACCAUUAAGUUGACAGGCGCACCUUUGACUGUGUCCCUGUGGGCACAUGUUCAUUGAUUUGCUGGGAAGAUCAAUUGAGCAGAGCAAGGAUUGUGGUUCACAUCAAUUUAGCAGAGCAAGGUUUGUGGUUCACAUCAAUUGAGCAGAGGAAGGAUUAAACAAAUCUAUGAAAAAGAUAGGUCGCCUAAAAAUACUCGCUUAGAGCUUAGUUUUUUUGUUUGCAGAAGGCACCUCAUCAUCUACUGGCAGUUGUUUACUUGAUUUGCUUCAAGGAUAAACAAUUAUUUCAAUCUACCCUAGACUACAGAGAUAACUACAUUAUUUUAGCCUCAAACAUGAAGGCUAUUGAAACCUGCAUCUUAAUAACACAACAUUGGCGGUCCACUAAGACUGCUUAGCCAGAUGAAUCAUGAGCUUACCAAGGAAUCCAUAUAGUUGUACCAAUUUAUUUUAUUGUGUCCCAGUUACAUAAUUUCUUUUGACACCGUCCCAGUUAAAGAUGGUUCUCAUGGGUGAGCAAGUGGCACAACAUUUUCUUUGCAGAAGAAGUAAGCACUACUUUUAGACAUCAGUUUUACCAAGCAAUUAUAUUUCAAUCCAACCUAGCCACCAAACUCUGCUAUUCUAGCAUAAAAAGGCAAACAUACUAUGAUAGGCUCCUGGAAUCUACAUCUCGUCUACCAAAACAUACACAUGACCACCAUUAGCCAACUGGAGAGAGGGAGAGACCUGAUAUCUUGUGAGAGCACCUCAAACCAAACUAUGUUGUUUUAGCCUAAAAGGGCAAACAAAAUAUGAGAGUUGUUGUUCUCAAAUAUUACCACACGCAUGGGCUGCUGUAUAAAUGAAGAUGCAUAUUGGCAUGUCUAUCUCAAACUAUCAAUACCUAGACACUAAUGUCUGGCUUGUCCGCAAUACACUAUACCUGAUGCAAUAGUUUAUCUCUGAAAUGUCCAUGUGUUGUUGGCCCAAAGGUCGUCACUGCAGACCAAGCACACCUGAAGAGAGGUCAUUCAAUCUUCAGAGGGAUAAAACGAACCAAAAUCAAGCAAAUCGUAGCUAUUAUAUGCACUGCUUAUGAUGGCACAUAAUGCGUUGUGCAUUCUAUGCACUUCAAUGGGAACCCAAAUUGUUUUUGCUCCAUUUACUUGAUUUAAGGCCUGGCUGCAUGCACACGUACCUAUCUGCGUGACGGCUCCGAUGAACUGCACGCUAGAGUGGAGGCCACGCUCGAGUUGUCCGACUGCCAGUGUCAGGGCCGUGCUUGCCUUUAGAGCUCAACAUACACCUUUCAAUAUAGCUCAUCUUGCUUGGUGUUGUCCUCUCUAUAAGCACAUUAUAGUACUAUUUCCUGUAAAUACGAGAAGUAAUAACAUCAGGUUUCAUCACAUCACAGUCCAAAGGAAAACAAUAGUGCAAGUAUGCAUACAACAGAUGUAGCUGCUCUCGCCUUUGGUUGACAGCGUCCUAAAUAUGUACAGUUCAACAGUGAAUCAACCAUGAAUAGAAAAGAACAUUCAGUUACACAUUCAUCUAUUCACAUGACAAACAGUAUAGUAAAAUAUGGUGACCAUUUAAGAAACACGACACUCAGUUUUUACUUUUUAGUCAAAUUAUACUUGGAAGAAGCUGGGAUCAACUCUUCCUAAAAGGGAAAUAUCACAUUCUUAAAACAAUAAAUAUAAAUUAAAAGAUAACACUUUUCUGAAAUGAAAAGUAGAACCAAGAUCUAAAAUAUGUAUAGUUCAACAGUGACUAAUUAAAUCUAAAACUCAGAACCAUGCAUCGUUAUAACCUCAAAAUGCAUACCUAAUUUGUGGUAAUCUAAUUGCUGAUUAAGACAUAGAAGCUUAAAUAGAUCAUAUCAGAGAGAGAGAGAGAGAGAGAGAGAGAGAGAGAUGGUACCUUGCCUCUUACUGCACAUUAACGCCUAGCUGAAUUCAUGUUAAUUACGCAGCAAGAGAGAGAGAGCAAGGCAUCCUCUUGCAGACCAACCCGGCGGGCAGCAACUUCCGAUCGUAAUUUCAGAUAU